AGCGGCGUACGGGUGAGUAACACGUGGAUCAUCUGCCCUUUUGUGGGGAAUAACUCUGGGAAACCGGAGCUAAUACCGCAUAAGCCCGAGAGGGGAAAGCAGCAAUGCGCAGAAGGAGGAGUCCGCGGCCGAUUAGCUCGUUGGCGGGGUAAUGGCCCACCAAGGCAACGAUCGGUAGCCGGCCUGAGAGGGCACACGGCCACACUGGCACUGAGACACGGGCCAGACUCCUACGGGAGGCAGCAGUGGGGAAUCUUGCACAAUGGGGGAAACCCUGAUGCAGCGACGCCGCGUGAGUGAUGAAGCCCUUCGGGGUGUAAAGCUCUUUCGACGGGAACGAUAAUGACGGUACCCGGAGAAGAAGCUGCGGCUAACUACGUGCCAGCAGCCGCGGUAAUACGUAGGCAGCAAGCGUUGUUCGGAAUUAUUGGGCGUAAAGAGUAUGUAGGCGGUUGGCUAAGUUUGGUGUGAAAUCUCCUGGCUUAACUGGGAGGGUGCGCUAAAUACUGGCCGGCUUGAGUGUGGGAGAGGAGAGUGGAAUGCCUGGUGUAGCGGUGAAAUGCGUAGAUAUCAGGCGGAACGCCGGUGAUGUAGAUGGCUCUCUGGACCACAACUGACGCUGAGAUACGAAAGCGUGGGUAGCAAACAGGAUUAGAUACCCUGGUAGUCCACGCCCUAAACGAUGCGGACUUGGUGUA
This 698-nucleotide ribosomal RNA is filed under the name uncultured Acidobacteriota bacterium. Its description in RNAcentral is "bacterial SSU rRNA". It matches the Rfam family "Bacterial small subunit ribosomal RNA", at positions 94 to 824 of the family's 1533-position model. The record is from RNAcentral. Lineage: Bacteria; Pseudomonadati; Acidobacteriota.